GACGAACGCUGGCGGCGUGCUUAACACAUGCAAGUCGAACGGAAAGGCUCCAGCUUGCUGGAGUGCUCGAGUGGCGAACGGGUGAGUAACACGUGGGCAAUCUGCCCUGCACUCUGGGAUAAGCCUGGGAAACUGGGUCUAAUACCGGAUAGGACCUUUCUCCUCAUGGGGUUUGGUGGAAAGUUUUUCGGUGCAGGAUGAGCCCGCCGCCUAUCAGCUUGUUGGUGGGGUAAUGGCCUACCAAGGCGACGACGGGUAGCCGGCCUGAGAGGGUGAUCGGCCACAUUGGGACUGAGAUACGGCCCAGACUCCUACGGGAGGCAGCAGUGGGGAAUAUUGCACAAUGGGCGAAAGCCUGAUGCAGCGACGCCGCGUGAGGGAUGACGGCCUUCGGGUUGUAAACCUCUUUCAGUAGGGACGAAGCGCAAGUGACGGUACCUGCAGAAGAAGCACCGGCUAACUACGUG
RNAcentral lists this ribosomal RNA (467 nucleotides) under uncultured bacterium. RNAcentral describes it as "partial 16S ribosomal RNA". It matches the Rfam family "Bacterial small subunit ribosomal RNA", at positions 28 to 507 of the family's 1533-position model. The record is from RNAcentral.